Molecule: ribosomal RNA, 771 nt
Filed under: Anaspis maculata
Lineage: Eukaryota; Metazoa; Arthropoda; Insecta; Coleoptera; Scraptiidae
Description: partial 16S ribosomal RNA
Rfam family: Bacterial large subunit ribosomal RNA (bases 1-560)
Source: RNAcentral
UUUAAGGUCGGGCCUGCCCAAUGAAAUUUAAAUGGCUGCAGUAUAUUGACUGUACAAAGGUAGCAUAAUCAUUAGUUUUUUAAUUGAAAACUUGUAUGAAAGGUUUGAUGAGAAAAUUACUGUCUCAAUUUUAAUUAAUUAAAAUUUUAUUUUUAAUUUAAAAAGAUUAAAUGUUAUAUAAAGACGAGAAGACCCUAUAGAGUUUGAUUACGAGUCUAAAUAUAAAUUUACAGAUUUUUAUAUUUUAUUUUAUUAAGUAAUUUUGUUGGGGUGAUAUAAAAAUUUAAUUAACUUUUUAUUAUGUUAACAUUGAUUUAUGAAUAAUUUGAUCAUGGUUUAAGAUUAAGAGAAAAAAUUACCUUAGGGAUAACAGCGUAAUUUAUUUUUAGAGUUCUAAUUGAAAAAUAAGAUUGCGACCUCGAUGUUGGAUUAAAAUAAAAAAUUGGUGCAGAAGCUAAAUUUUUAAGUCUGUUCGACUUUUAAAUUUUUACAUGAUCUGAGUUUAGACCGGUGUGAGCCAGGUUGGUUUCUAUCUUUUAUUUUAUAAUAUUUUUUAGUACGAAAGGACCAAGAAUUUAAAUAUUAUUUUAUAUUAAGAAUAAAAUUAAUUAUUUUGGCAGAUUAGUGCGAUAGAUUUAGAAUCUUUUUAUGUAAUUUAAUUACAAAUAAUAAUAUUAUUAGUUGAUUUAGGUUUAAGAAUUUUUUCUAUAUUAAUUUUAAUUGUUUUUGUUUUAGUAGAGUUGCUUUUUUGACUUUAAUGGAACGGAAAGU